GAAUUCCUCGCUCUUUUCUUUUUUACUUCCUCCAACUUCACUUCAUCACUAUUAUUCUUUUCGACUUCCACACUUUCUUUAUUUUCUACUUCACCAUUUUUCUCGUCCUUUUCAACUUCUUCGUCACUCCACUCCCCAACUUCACCCUCAAUGCUCUUCUCUAUUUUUUUCUCCUCAUCUUUUUCCUCAUCCUCUCUUUUUUCACUCUCAUCUCUUUUUUUACU
Molecule: long non-coding RNA, 224 nt
Filed under: Lathyrus oleraceus (garden pea)
Lineage: Eukaryota; Viridiplantae; Streptophyta; Magnoliopsida; Fabales; Fabaceae
Description: Pisum sativum (pea) long non-coding RNA (PSAT_LNC005526)
Source: RNAcentral